Homo sapiens (human) is the source of this 940-nucleotide long non-coding RNA. Ensembl annotates it as long intergenic non-protein coding RNA 1220. NCBI's taxonomy places the organism in Eukaryota, Metazoa, Chordata, Mammalia, Primates, Hominidae. The record is from Ensembl.
GCUGGGCGAAGGCUCCGAGCCACGAGACCCCCGCCUCCUGUCCCGGGACCCACCCAGGCGGAGGCAAGGGCAGGGGCGCUGGGGGCCCAGAGAGAGGGCGCCGCGAUGGAUGAAUGAGCUGUUUCCAGCAUUCCUGCUUCAACUCAAAAUUUUCCUUCAUGGCACAGUGGAAAGCUUUGAAGACGGCGGUUCUGGGGCUGAAUAUGAAGGCAACUCGGACUAAGAAGACGACUGCUUUCCAACUGCCCUCCCGUCCUGCAGCCGCCUGAUUUGAGGAAGGGGCUGGGAUCCUUCCCCUUGCCCUCUGGUUGUUCUUGGAGUUACAGCAGCCCCGCGGCAGCUCUGCCCCCUAGUGCACAUGUGAGGCAGCGCGCCCUUCUCCAAUCCAGAAGCCUCGUCGCGGUGCUGCCAGCAAGGGAGUUUUUCUGUAUUCACUUUGGUGGAAAUAGCAAAACUUGACAGAAAAAAAACCCAAGCCAAACCAAAACACACGAACCAUUCUAGCCUUUUCUCUCUUUCGUUUCUUUCUGAGGAUCUGGCCGAUUUGGAUGCAGAAAACAUGCCUGUUGCUUCUGCUGCGAAAUCUGCUCUUUCUCUUCCUGCUAUCGGAACCCUGUCCCUUCUUUCAAAGCCUAAUUCAGGCCAGGCGCGGUGGCUCACGCCUGUAAUCCCAGCACUUUGGGAGGCCGAGACAGACGGAUCACUUGAGGUCAAGAGUUUGAGACCAGCCUGGCCAAAAUGGUGAAACCCUGUCUCUACUAAAAAUACAAAAAUUAGCUGGACAUGGUAGCACACGCCUGUAAUCCCAGCUACUCGGGAGGCUGAGGCAGGAGAAUCACUUGAACCCGAGAGACGGAGGUUACAGUGAGCUGAUAUCAGGCCACUGCACUCCAGCCUGGGUGACAGAGUGAGACUCCAUCUCAAAAAAAAAAAAAAAAAA